RNAcentral lists this ribosomal RNA (808 nucleotides) under uncultured archaeon. Its description in RNAcentral is "bacterial SSU rRNA". It matches the Rfam family "Archaeal small subunit ribosomal RNA", at positions 85 to 879 of the family's 1478-position model. The record is from RNAcentral.
ACUGCUCAGUAACACGUGGCUAAUCUGCCCUUAGGACGAGAACAACCCCGGGAAACUGGGGCUAACUCUUGAUAGGUGAAGAACUCUGGAAUGAGUCUUUGCCUAAAAAGAUUCACGUUAUCCUCGUGAACCUGCCUAAGGAUGAGGCCGCGACCGAUCAGGUUGUUGGCGAGGUAAUGGCUCACCAAGCCUUUUACCGGUGCGGGCCGUGGGAGCGGGAGCCCGGAGAUGGGUACUGAGACAAGGACCCAGGCCCUACGGGGCGCAGCAGUCGCGAAACCUUUGCAAUAAGCGAAAGCUUGACAGGGCUAUCCCGAGUGCCAUCCGCUGAGGAAGGCUUUUACCCAGUCUAGAACGCUGGGGGAAUAAGGAGAGGGCAAGUCUGGUGUCAGCCGCCGCGGUAAUACCAGCUCUCCGAGUGGUGUGGAUGUUUAUUGGGCCUAAAGCAUCCGUAGCUGGCUAAGUUAGUCCCUUGUUAAAUCCACCGAAUUAAUCGUUGGAUCGCGGGGGAUACUGCUUGGCUAGGGGACGAGAGAGGCAGACGGUAUUUUCGGGGUAGGGGUGAAAUCCUAUAAUCCCGGGAAGACCACCAGUGGCGAAGGCUGUCUGCUAGAACGCGCCCGACGGUGAGGGAUGAAAGCUGGGGGAGCGAACCGGAUUAGAUACCCGGGUAGUCCCAGCUGUAAACGAUGCAGACUAGGUGUUUGGACGGCCACGUGCCGUUCUAGUGCCGCAGGGAAGCUGUUAAGUCUGCCGCCUGGGGAGUACGAUCGCAAGAUUGAAACUUAAGGAAUUGGCGGGGGAGCAC